RNAcentral lists this long non-coding RNA (709 nucleotides) under Helianthus annuus (common sunflower). Lineage: Eukaryota; Viridiplantae; Streptophyta; Magnoliopsida; Asterales; Asteraceae. The record is from RNAcentral.
UCAGAAAUACCUAGAAGCUGAUGAUUAUGGAUCUAAGGCUCCGUCUCUCUCUCUCUCUCUCUCUCUCUCUCUCUCUCUCUCUCUCUCUCUCUCUCUCUCUCUCUCUCUCUCUCUCUCUCUCUCAGCUUAUUUUUGUUUCCUUUAUGCGGUGGGAUAACAUGGAAUAGUGGGGUGGAGCUCAACACCGUACGAUUGUCACCGUUGACAUCCGAGUUGGUUUGUAAUUUUGAAAGAUCUGAGGACUAGUUUCUUUUUCUUUUUUAAGAUAGAGGGAGAGAGAGAUGCAUAGUCAUGUGAGAUAUGCCUCGCCGCUGACGGUGGUGGUUGUUGUGAAGCUAGCGGCGACGAUUGGUUUGCCUUACAGGUUUUUAGUAUAAUAUUGCUGGCGAUUCAGUCUAGAAACUGGUUACGUACUGGGUUGCGACUGCGAAAAGAAGAAAAGAUGAUUCCGGUCAGAAAUCGUGCUACGAAGGGAUCUGAAAAGGGCCUAAGAGUAUGUGGUUUGUAUUUUAGUUUUUGUUCAUGUUUUCUCAUAAACUUAGUUUUCAUCUGCAGGGCUUGUUAUAGAAUAAAAUACACAAAUUCAUCUUUGGCUCAAUGGUUGCAGUAGUUGAUUUGAUAGACGGCUGUGCCUUGUUCGAAUCCCCCUGACAUCUCAAAUUUAUUUAUUUAUUUGGGAUUCUCCAACUUUUUUUUUUUGGCCUCAAGG